This 108-nucleotide small RNA is filed under the name Salmonella enterica. RNAcentral describes it as "RtT sRNA". It matches the Rfam family "RtT RNA". From Rfam's summary of the family: This family represents a bacterial cis-regulatory element known as RtT RNA. The exact function of RtT is unknown although it is thought that it may be involved in changing the cellular response in relation to amino acid starvation. Lineage: Bacteria; Pseudomonadati; Pseudomonadota; Gammaproteobacteria; Enterobacterales; Enterobacteriaceae. The record is from RNAcentral.
UGACGAGGAUGAGAACCUCCGGGGGGCAAGAGGUUCGACCCGAGCGAAGCGAGAGAACGUUGCGCCAGCAACGGCCCGCAGUGGCAAGUCAUCCUCUGUCACCGGCAG